This 449-nucleotide ribosomal RNA is filed under the name uncultured bacterium. RNAcentral describes it as "bacterial SSU rRNA". It matches the Rfam family "Bacterial small subunit ribosomal RNA", at positions 328 to 792 of the family's 1533-position model. The record is from RNAcentral.
GGGCCAGACUCCUACGGGAGGCAGCAGUGGGGAAUAUUGGACAGUGGGGGGAACCCUGAUCCAGCGACGCCGCGUGAGUGAAGAAGUAUUUCGGUAUGUAAAGCUCUAUCAGCAGGGAAGAAGAAAUGACGGUACCUGACUAAGAAGCCCCGGCUAACUACGUGCCAGCAGCCGCGGUAAUACGUAGGGGGCAAGCGUUAUCCGGAUUUACUGGGUGUAAAGGGAGCGUAGACGGCCAUUCAAGCCAGAUGUGAAAGCCCGGGGCUCAACCCCGGGACUGCAUUUGGAACUGUGUGGCUAGAGUGUCGGAGAGGCAGGCGGAAUUCCUAGUGUAGCGGUGAAAUGCGUAGAUAUUAGGAGGAACACCAGUGGCGAAGGCGGCCUGCUGGACGAUGACUGACGUUGAGGCUCGAAAGCGUGGGGAGCAAACAGGAUUAGAUACCCUAGUA